AGGAGCUCUGCUUUCUUUUCAUCUGCUGUAUAAAAGCUGAAGAAUCAAAGUUACGACGUGAGAUGGAUCGGUCUCAUCCUGGAGGUGGAUAUGAGUCUAAAAGAGUUUAUAGCAGGUGUCAUCCAAAGCCUACCUGUGUCCACAGAUGAUUUUGUGCAGGAAUUCCUUCAUGUUCUCCACCAGGACUUGUUUCCCUGUGUGGUUCCAGUGGGAGUGGCAGCUACCUUCAUGUCCGUUCUCUCGGCCGUCUUUGUGGCAUAUAGAUGGAACCGAACCCCAAACAGCAAAUCCUCCGAAGUAAGUGAAGGUGAUGCACUCGGCACUGUAGGAGGUAAAGAGACACAGAAGACUCAUGUGAGUGGAAAAAAGUUUUUUAUGACCUAUU
Poecilia latipinna (sailfin molly) is the source of this 385-nucleotide long non-coding RNA. RefSeq lists it as uncharacterized. The record is from RefSeq and is a predicted model, not a curated record. The transcript has 4 exons. NCBI's taxonomy places the organism in Eukaryota, Metazoa, Chordata, Actinopteri, Cyprinodontiformes, Poeciliidae.